GAUGAACGCUGGCGGCGUGCUUAACACAUGCAAGUCGAACGGAAAGGCCCUGCUUGCAGGGUACUCGAGUGGCGAACGGGUGAGUAACACGUGGGUGAUCUGCCCUUUACUUUGGGAUAAGCCUGGGAAACUGGGGCUAAUACCGAAAAUGACAAUUGUUUUGAUGCGAUUGUGGAAAGCUUUUGCGGUAUGGGAUGAGCUCGCGGCCUAUAAGCUUGUUGGUGGGGAAAUGGCCUACCAAGGCGCCGACGGGUAGCCGGCCUGAGAGGGUGUAGCGCCACAUUGGGACUGAGAUACGGCCCAGACUCGUAAGGGAGGGAGCAGUGGGGAAUAUUGCACACUGGGCGGAAGCGUGAUGCAGCGAGGCCGCGUGGGUGAUGACGGCCUUCGGGUUGUAAAAUCCUUUCGCAACCGACGAGGCCUUUUGGUGACGGUAGGUUGAGAAGAAGCACCGGCUAACUACGUG
Molecule: ribosomal RNA, 466 nt
Filed under: uncultured bacterium
Lineage: Bacteria
Description: partial 16S ribosomal RNA
Rfam family: Bacterial small subunit ribosomal RNA
Source: RNAcentral